CCUAACACAUGCAAGUCGAACGGUAACAGGAAGCAGCUUGCUGCUUCGCUGACGAGUGGCGGACGGGUGAGUAAUGUCUGGGAAGCUGCCUGAUGGAGGGGGAUAACUACUGGAAACGGUAGCUAAUACCGCAUAAUGUCGCAAAACCAAAGAGGGGGACCUUCGGGCCUCUUGCCAUCGGAUGUGCCCAGAUGGGAUUAGCUUGUUGGUGGGGUAACGGCUCACCAAGGCGACGAUCCCUAGCUGGUCUGAGAGGAUGACCAGCCACACUGGAACUGAGACACGGUCCAGACUCCUACGGGAGGCGGCAGUGGGGAAUAUUGCACAAUGGGCGCAAGCCUGAUGCAGCCAUGCCGCGUGUAUGAAGAAGGCCUUCGGGUUGUAAAGUACUUUCAGCGGGGAGGAAGGGAGUAAAGUUAAUACCUUUGCUCAUUGACGUUACCCGCAGAAGAAGCACCGGCUAACUCCGUGCCAGCAGC
Molecule: ribosomal RNA, 479 nt
Filed under: uncultured bacterium
Lineage: Bacteria
Description: bacterial SSU rRNA
Rfam family: Bacterial small subunit ribosomal RNA
Source: RNAcentral